AAAUUAUAUAUAGAGAAAGUGUUGAAAGGGUUCAGCAUACAGAACUCCAAAGGAGAUUGUUAUCCUUUAGGCAUGGAGUUAAUCUCUUCAAGAUGAUGUGCCCUAGCACACUUAAGAAGAUUGAGUACAUAAGCUCGAUCUCUCAUGCUUUUACAAUAGAGAGCCUCAUGUACACUAUGUACAGGACUAUAUAUACCACUUGUUAUGAGUGUCACGAGCAGAUAUCAGUCAAAUCUAGGUUGGGAGCAUUGG
This 252-nucleotide long non-coding RNA is filed under the name Elaeis guineensis (African oil palm). Its description in RNAcentral is "long non-coding RNA (EGUI_LNC037676)". The record is from RNAcentral. Lineage: Eukaryota; Viridiplantae; Streptophyta; Magnoliopsida; Arecales; Arecaceae.